GUAGGUGGCAAGCGUUGUCCGGAAUUAUUGGGCGUAAUGCGCGCGCAGGCGGUCCUUUAAGCCUGAUGUGAAAGCCCACGGCUCAACCGUGGAGGGUCAUUGGAAACUGGGGGACUUGAGUACAGAAGAGGAAAGCGGAAUUCCAAGUGUAGCGGUGAAAUGCGUAGAGAUUUGGAGGAACACCAGUGGCGAAGGCGGCUUUCUGGUCUGUAACUGACGCUGAGGCGCGAAAGCGUGGGGAGCAAACAGGGAUUAGAUACCCUGGUAGUCCACGCCGUAAACGAUGAGUGCUAAGUGUUAGGGGGUUUCCGCCCCCUUAGUGCUGCAGCUAACGCAUUAAGCACUCCGCCUGGGGAUACGGCCGCAAGGCUG
Molecule: ribosomal RNA, 372 nt
Filed under: uncultured organism
Description: partial 16S ribosomal RNA
Rfam family: Bacterial small subunit ribosomal RNA
Source: RNAcentral